AGAAGCUCCAGCCCUUGUCAAUGAUCACUCAGUAUGGGAAAUGGAUUGUGGAGUAAUCAGAGUGGCUGUGGGGAGACCUCUUAGGAAGAAAUUACAGUUCAGUAUUCUAAAUAGGAGGAGUAGCCACAGAGAUGGGAAAAAAGUGAAUGAAGUCAAAACAUAAUUCAGAGUUUAUGUCCAUGCUGCAGAUAUAAAGGAUGAAGUUGUAGGGCAGGAAGUCUUAUGUAACUUGGAGCAGCUACUCAAUGGAAAUCACAAACAGAAUGAGUUUCAUCCACAUGUCAAGACACUACUACCAACAGAGCUAUUUCAGGACACCUACCUAAAUAACUAGCUGUCUCUUCCACUUAAAGCAAGGAGAGUCUUCUCUUAUCUUCAAGAAGAAUAAAAAGUGAAGCUGACAUUACUUGGAAAGAGAAUAAACAAAAUCUGUCAUGAGGACUGCAGGGAUGAAUGACACAAACCAGCCAUUUCUUUGAGAGUCAGGAAAUAUCUAGUUUAUACAAUAAGCUGAUCUACCAAUAAAAUACAAUUGGUGUUGAAA
Homo sapiens (human) is the source of this 544-nucleotide long non-coding RNA. Ensembl annotates it as long intergenic non-protein coding RNA 1798. NCBI's taxonomy places the organism in Eukaryota, Metazoa, Chordata, Mammalia, Primates, Hominidae. The record is from Ensembl.